GAUGAACGCUAGCGGCAGGCUUAAUACAUGCAAGUCGAGGGGCAGCGGGGGUAGCAAUACCUGCCGGCGACCGGCAAACGGGUGCGGAACACGUACAGAACCUUCCUUUAAGCGGGGGAUAGCCCGGAGAAAUCCGGAUUAAUACCCCAUAGUAAUGUUGGUUGGCAUCAAUUGACAUUUAAAGAUUGAUCACUUAAAGAUGGCUGUGCGGCUGAUUAGGUAGUUGGUUGAGGUAAAGGCNCACCAAGCCAGCGAU
Molecule: ribosomal RNA, 256 nt
Filed under: uncultured bacterium
Lineage: Bacteria
Description: partial 16S ribosomal RNA
Rfam family: Bacterial small subunit ribosomal RNA
Source: RNAcentral